GUGGGGAAUAUUGGACAAUGGGCGAAAGCCUGAUCCAGCCAUGCCGCGUGUGUGAAGAAGGUCUUCGGAUUGUAAAGCACUUUAAGUUGGGAGGAAGGGCAGUAAGUUAAUACCUUGCUGUUUUGACGUUACCGACAGAAUAAGCACCGGCUAACUUCGUGCCAGCAGCCGCGGUAAUACGAAGGGUGCAAGCGUUAAUCGGAAUUACUGGGCGUAAAGCGCGCGUAGGUGGUUUUGUAAGUUGGAGGUGAAAUCCCCGGGCUCAACCUGGGAACUGACUCCAAAACUGCAUGACUAGAGUACGGUAGAGGGUAGUGGAAUUUCCGGUGUAGCGGUGAAAUGCGUAGAUAUAGGAAGGAACACCAGUGGCGAAGGCGACUACCUGUACUGAUACUGACACUGAGGUGCGAAAGCGUGGGGAGCAAACAGGAUUAGAAACCCGAGUAGUCC
This 450-nucleotide ribosomal RNA is filed under the name uncultured bacterium. RNAcentral describes it as "bacterial SSU rRNA". It matches the Rfam family "Bacterial small subunit ribosomal RNA", at positions 354 to 796 of the family's 1533-position model. The record is from RNAcentral.